GGUUGCUCCAGAAGUAGAUAGCUUAACCUUCGGGAGGGCGUUUACCACGGAGUGAUUCAUGACUGGGGUGAAGUCGUAACAAGGUAACCGUAGGGGAACCUGCGGUUGGAUCACCUCCUUACCUUAA
This 127-nucleotide ribosomal RNA is filed under the name Zobellella denitrificans. Its description in RNAcentral is "partial 16S ribosomal RNA". It matches the Rfam family "Bacterial small subunit ribosomal RNA", at positions 1413 to 1533 of the family's 1533-position model. The record is from RNAcentral. Lineage: Bacteria; Pseudomonadati; Pseudomonadota; Gammaproteobacteria; Aeromonadales; Aeromonadaceae.